RNAcentral lists this ribosomal RNA (495 nucleotides) under uncultured bacterium. Its description in RNAcentral is "partial 16S ribosomal RNA". It matches the Rfam family "Bacterial small subunit ribosomal RNA", at positions 28 to 507 of the family's 1533-position model. The record is from RNAcentral.
GACGAACGCUGGCGGCGUGCCUAAUACAUGCAAGUAGAACGCUGAAGGAGGAGCUUGCUUCUCUGGAUGAGUUGCGAACGGGUGAGUAACGCGUAGGUAACCUGCCUGGUAGCGGGGGAUAACUAUUGGAAACGAUAGCUAAUACCGCAUAAUAGUAGAUGUUGCAUGACAUUUACUUAAAAGGUGCAAUUGCAUCACUACCAGAUGGACCUGCGUUGUAUUAGCUAGUUGGUGGGGUAACGGCUCACCAAGGCGACGAUACAUAGCCGACCUGAGAGGGGGAGCGGCCACACUGGGACGGGGACACGGCCCAGACUCCUACGGGAGGCAGCAGUAGGGAAUCUUCGGCAAUGGACGAAAGUCUGACCGAGCAACGCCGCGUGAGUGAAGAAGGUUUUCGGAUCGUAAAGCUCUGUUGUAAGAGAAGAACGAGUGUGAGAGUGGAAAGUUCACACUGUGACGGUAUCUUACCAGAAAGGGACGGCUAACUACGUG